This 959-nucleotide ribosomal RNA is filed under the name metagenome. Its description in RNAcentral is "bacterial SSU rRNA". It matches the Rfam family "Bacterial small subunit ribosomal RNA", at positions 193 to 1135 of the family's 1533-position model. The record is from RNAcentral.
CCUACGGGAGAAAGGGGGGCAGUUUACUGCUCUCGGUUUUAGAUGAGCUUAGUCGGAUUAGCUAGAUGUGGGGUAAAGGCUUCCCAUGGCGACGAUCUGUAGCUGGUCUGAGAGGAUGAUCAGCCACACCGGGAUUGAGACACGGCCCGGACUCCUACGGGAGGCAGCAGUGGGGAAUAUUGGACAAUGGGGGAAACCNUGAUCCAGCCAUGCCGCGUGUGUGAAGAAGGCCUUUUGGUUGUAAAGCACUUUAAGCAGUGAAGAAGACUCCGUGGUUAAUACCCACGGACGAUGACAUUAGCUGCAGAAUAAGCACCGGCUAACUCUGUGCCAGCAGCCGCGGUAAUACAGAGGGUGCAAGCGUUAAUCGGAAUUACUGGGCGUAAAGGGAGCGUAGGUGGCUCGAUAAGUCAGAUGUGAAAUCCCCGGGCUCAACCUGGGAACUGCAUCUGAUACUGUUGAGCUAGAGUAUGUGAGAGGAAGGUAGAAUUCCAGGUGUAGCGGUGAAAUGCGUAGAGAUCUGGAGGAAUACCGAUGGCGAAGGCAGCCUUCUGGCAUAAUACUGACACUGAGGCUCGAAAGCGUGGGUAGCAAACAGGAUUAGAUACCCUGGUAGUCCACGCCGUAAACGAUGUCUACUAGUCGUUGGGUCCCUUGAGGACUUAGUGACGCAGCUAACGCAAUAAGUAGACCGCCUGGGGAGUACGGCCGCAAGGUUAAAACUCAAAUGAAUUGACGGGGGCCCGCACAAGCGGUGGAGCAUGUGGUUUAAUUCGAUGCAACGCGAAGAACCUUACCUGGUCUUGACAUAUCUAGAAUCCUGCAGAGAUGCGGGAGUGCCUUCGGGAAUUAGAAUACAGGUGCUGCAUGGCUGUCGUCAGCUCGUGUCGUGAGAUGUUGGGUUAAGUCCCGCAANNCGAGCGCCAACCCUUGUCUCAGCCGAAUCUGAUCCACGGGUU